CUAUACCUACUACAGUUAACUCUCGUUGUCUCGAACUCGGUUGACUCGAAAUUUCGGAUGAGUCGAAGUUUUCACGUGGUCCCGAACUUUAUUCCAUACAAAAGUAUGUAAUUCGACUCCUGAUGAGUCGAAAUUGGAUGAGUCGAAAUUUCGGUUGAGUCGAACUAAAUUAACGGUCCCAAGGUUAACAAAAGCAUUCAAAAUUCAUUUUUAUCUCGAACUAAUACACAUAUGUCAAAACAUGACCUCCGGGAUUUAAAUGGAUUGAAUAGUUAAUCUGACAAUACACGUGUAAUUAAAUGUCCAGUCACUGACCACUGUAUUGAUUUAUGACAUGCAAUUUCCAUGAGUGUUUACUUAAGAUUAUCUUUUAAAGAAUUUUGACAAAUAAUUAGUGAUACAUUGUUAAUGUUCAUGAAAAGGUAUUUAAAAUGUUUACAAAACAAUUAAUUUGUGAUUUACACUAUAAAUGAGCUUGGAUGUGUAUAAAGUGAGGAUUAUGGCUUCCGUUGAUGAUCACCUAAAAACUACUCAAACGGCGUCUUUAAUCUUGUUAUAUUUUCUUUUGAAAAGAAAGAGUGAGAUAAAACAAAAUGAAUAGAAAUCAAAAUUUUCUUAAAUCUCUUGUAUCCGAUAAUAAACAAUUUUGUCAGCUAUAACCGACCUGAAUAACGAAACUAUCGAUUGGAAAUUACUAUAUUGGAAAAGCCAUAGGAUUUUUUUUUUUAAUUAAAAGAAUUGAAUAAAUAAAAAAAAAAUCAUCAUAAUAAUAAAAGACUGUGACAUACAAAUAUAUCGAUCUGAUACUAGAAUAUCGAUCCCCUUGACAUAUUUACCCGGAUUUAUUUUAGCUUUACCAAGCUAAGCAAGAGUUGUGUCCCUUAGAUUGUCGAACUUCCGGUGUUCGUUUGAGUCGAACUACGUGUAUCUCGAAAUAUUUCUCUGGUCCGGCUGACUUCGACAUAACGAGAGUCGACUGGAAUC
Molecule: long non-coding RNA, 984 nt
Filed under: Mytilus galloprovincialis (Mediterranean mussel)
Lineage: Eukaryota; Metazoa; Mollusca; Bivalvia; Mytilida; Mytilidae
Source: RNAcentral